RNAcentral lists this ribosomal RNA (1063 nucleotides) under Capnocytophaga sp. cp05.19. Its description in RNAcentral is "bacterial SSU rRNA". It matches the Rfam family "Bacterial small subunit ribosomal RNA", at positions 43 to 1094 of the family's 1533-position model. The record is from RNAcentral. Lineage: Bacteria; Pseudomonadati; Bacteroidota; Flavobacteriia; Flavobacteriales; Flavobacteriaceae.
CACGUCUAACACAUGCAAGUCCGAGGGGUAAGAAAGAGCUUGCUCUUCCUAGACCGGCGUACGGGUGCGUAACGCGUGUACAAUCUACCUUUUACAGAGGGAUAACCUGAAGAAAUUUGGACUAAUACCUCAUGGUAUUACUUUAUGGCAUCAUAGGGUAAUUAAAGCUACGGUGGUAAAAGAUGAGUACGCGUUCUAUUAGCUAGUUGGAGUGGUAACGGCACCCCAAGGCUACGGAUAGAUAGGGGUCCUGAGAGGGAGAUCCCCCACACUUGGUACUGAGACAGGGACCAGACUCCUACGGGAGGCAGCACUGAGGAAUAUUGGUCAAUGGUCGGAAGACUGAACCAGCCAUGCCGCGUGCAGGAAGACGGCCUUAUGGGUUGUAAACUGCUUUUGCAAGGGAAGAAUAAGCUCUACGAGUAGAGUGAUGACGGUACUUUGCGAAUAAGCAUCGGCUAACUCCGUGCCAGCAGCCGCGGUAAUACGGAUUGGUAUGCGAGCGUUAUCCGGAAUCAUUGGGUUUAAAGGGUCUGUAGGCGGGUUGUUAAGUCCAGGGGUGAAAGUUUACGGCUUAACCGUAAAAUUGCCUUUGAUACUGGCUAUCUUGAAUUAUUGUGAAGUUGUUAGAAUGUGUAGUGUAGCGGUGAAAUGCAUAGAUAUUACACAGAAUACCGAUUGCGAAGGCAGAUGACUAACAAUAGAUUGACGCUAGAGAGACGAAAGCCGUGGGGAGCGAACAGGAUUAGGAUACCCUGGUAGUCCACCGCUGUAAACGAUGGGAUACUAGCUGUUUGGCAUUAUAGUUUGAGUGGCUAAGCGAAAGUGAUAAGUAUCCCACCUGGGGAGUACGCACGCAAGUGUGAAACUCAAAGGAAUUGACGGGGGCCCGCACAAGCGGUGGAGCAUGUGGUUUAAUUCGAUGAUACGCCGAGGAACCUUACCAAGGUUUAAAUGGGACAGGAGUAACGUAGAGAUAUGUUAGCCACAAUGGUCUGUUUCAAGGUGCUGCAUGGUUGUCCGUCAGCUCGUGCCUGAGGUGUCACGGCUAAGUCCUAUAACC